RNAcentral lists this ribosomal RNA (442 nucleotides) under uncultured bacterium. RNAcentral describes it as "partial 16S ribosomal RNA". It matches the Rfam family "Bacterial small subunit ribosomal RNA", at positions 338 to 795 of the family's 1533-position model. The record is from RNAcentral.
CCUACGGGAGGCAGCAGUGGGGAAUAUUGGGCAAUGGACGCAAGUCUGACCCAGCAACGCCGCGUGCAGGAAGACGGCUCUCGGGUUGUAAAAUUCUUUUUAGGGGGAAGAGCAGAAGACGGUAUCCCUUGAAUAAGCCACGGCUAACUACGUGCCAGCAGCCGCGGUAAUACGGAGGUGGCAAGCGUUGGCCGGAUUUACUGGGUGUAAAGGGCGUGCAGCCGGAGAGACAAGUCAGAUGUGAAAUCCACGGGCUUAACCCGUGAACUGCAUUUGAAACUGUUUCCCUUGAGUGUCGGUGAGGUAGGCGGAAUGUCUGGUGUAGCGGUGAAAUGCGUAGAGAUAAGGAAGAACACCGAUUGCGAAGGCGGAUUACUAGACGAUAACUGACGGUGAGGCACGAAAGCGUGGGGAGCAAACAGGAUUAGAUACCCGAGUAGUC